RNAcentral lists this ribosomal RNA (506 nucleotides) under uncultured bacterium. Its description in RNAcentral is "partial 16S ribosomal RNA". It matches the Rfam family "Bacterial small subunit ribosomal RNA", at positions 29 to 523 of the family's 1533-position model. The record is from RNAcentral.
AGUGAACGCUGGCGGUAGGCCUAACACAUGCAAGUCGAACGGCAGCGCAGGAGAGCUUGCUCUCUGGGUGGCGAGUGGCGGACGGGUGAGGAAUACAUCGGAAUCUACUCUGUCCUGGGGGAUAACGUAGGGAAACUUACGCUAAUACCGCAUACGACCUACGGGUGAAAGCAGGGGACCUUCGGGCCUUGCGCGAUUGAAUGAGCCGAUGUCGGAUUAGCUAGUUGGCGGGGUAAAGGCCCACCAAGGCGACGAUCCGUAGCUGGUCUGAGAGGAUGAUCAGCCACACUGGAACUGAGACACGGUCCAGACUCCUACGGGAGGCAGCAGUGGGGAAUAUUGGACAAUGGGCGCAAGCCUGAUCCAGCCAUACCGCGUGGGUGAAGAAGGCCUUCGGGUUGUAAAGCCCUUUUGUUGGGAAAGAAAUCCAGCUGGCUAAUACCCGGUUGGGAUGACGGUACCCAAAGAAUAAGCACCGGCUAACUUCGUGCCAGCCGCCGCAGUAA